GAUGAACGCUGGCGGCGUGCCUAAUACAUGCAAGUCGAGCGAACAGACGAGGAGCUUGCUCCUCUGACGUUAGCGGCGGACGGGUGAGUAACACGUGGAUAACCUACCUAUAAGACUGGGAUAACUUCGGGAAACCGGAGCUAAUACCGGAUAAUAUAUUGAACCGCGUGGUUCAAUAGUGAAAGACGGUUUUGCUGUCACUUAUAGAUGGAUCCGCGCCGCAUUAGCUAGUUGGUAAGGUAACGGCUUACCAAGGCAACGAUGCGUAGCCGACCUGAGAGGGUGAUCGGCCACACUGGAACUGAGACCCGGUCCAGACUCCUACGGGAGGCAGCAGUAGGGAAUCUUCCGCAAUGGGCGAAAGCCUGACGGAGCAACGCCGCGUGAGUGAUGAAGGUCUUCGGAUCGUAAAACUCUGUUAUUAGGGAAGAACAAAUGUGUAAGUAACUAUGCACGUCUUGACGGUACCUAAUCAGAAAGCCACGGCUAACUACGUG
Molecule: ribosomal RNA, 497 nt
Filed under: uncultured bacterium
Lineage: Bacteria
Description: partial 16S ribosomal RNA
Rfam family: Bacterial small subunit ribosomal RNA
Source: RNAcentral